CAACAUAAGCAGUGGGAAGCAGAAGAAGCUGUACAAGGGAUCCCAAGGUGAAGAUGGCACCCUCAUUAAAGUGCAGACUGAUCCCUCGGGUCUCUACAUUGCAACUAGCUGCUCUGACAAGAACCUCUCCAUCUUUGAUUUCUACUCCGGCGAGUGUGUGGCCACAAUGUAUGGGCACUCAGAGAUUGUAACUGGGAUGAAGUUCAGUAACGACUGCAAACACCUGAUCUCUGUCUCUGGUGAC
RNAcentral lists this long non-coding RNA (244 nucleotides) under Gopherus evgoodei (Goodes thornscrub tortoise). RNAcentral describes it as "lncRNA (ENSGEVG00005009159.1)". The record is from RNAcentral. Lineage: Eukaryota; Metazoa; Chordata; Testudines; Testudinidae.